AUGCACGCUGGCGGCGUGCCUAAUACCUGCAAGUCGCGCGAACAGAUAAGGAGCUUGCUCCUUUGACGUUAGCGGCGGACGGGUGAGUAACACGUGGGUAACCUACCUAUAAGACUGGAAUAACUCCGGGAAACCGGGGCUAAUGCCGGAUAACAUUUAGAACCGCAUGGUUCUAAAGUGAAAGAUGGUUUUGCUAUCACUUAUAGAUGGACCCGCGCCGUAUUAGCUAGUUGGUAAGGUAACGGCUUACCAAGGCAACGAUACGUAGCCGACCUGAGAGGGUGAUCGGCCACACUGGAACUGAGACACGGUCCAGACUCCUACGGGAGGCAGCAGUAGGGAAUCUUCCGCAAUGGGCGAAAGCCUGACGGAGCAACGCCGCGUGAGUGAUGAAGGUCUUCGGAUCGUAAAACUCUGUUAUUAGGGAAGAACAAAUGUGUAAGUAACUGUGCACGUCUUGACGGUACCUAAUCAGAAAGCCACGGCUAACUACGUG
Molecule: ribosomal RNA, 496 nt
Filed under: uncultured bacterium
Lineage: Bacteria
Description: partial 16S ribosomal RNA
Rfam family: Bacterial small subunit ribosomal RNA
Source: RNAcentral